This 110-nucleotide non-coding RNA is filed under the name Flavobacteriaceae bacterium. Its description in RNAcentral is "SAM-I sequence". It matches the Rfam family "SAM riboswitch aptamer (S box leader)". From Rfam's summary of the family: The SAM riboswitch is found upstream of a number of genes which code for proteins involved in methionine or cysteine biosynthesis in Gram-positive bacteria. The SAM riboswitch acts at the level of transcription termination control. The predicted structure consists of a complex stem-loop region followed by a single stem loop terminator region. Lineage: Bacteria; Pseudomonadati; Bacteroidota; Flavobacteriia; Flavobacteriales; Flavobacteriaceae. RNAcentral also lists the same sequence under 1 other name. The record is from RNAcentral.
AGGUUAUCAAGAAAGGUGGAGGGAAUAGACCCGUUGAAACCUUAGCAACCCUUGCUUUAACUAGUAUAAGCAAUGAAGGUGCUACAUUCUACUUCAUAUUUAGAUAGAUU